RNAcentral lists this ribosomal RNA (273 nucleotides) under Triticum aestivum (bread wheat). RNAcentral's name for it is "partial small subunit ribosomal RNA". The record is from RNAcentral. Lineage: Eukaryota; Viridiplantae; Streptophyta; Magnoliopsida; Poales; Poaceae.
AUGUAGGACGGUUCCAAGCCCACCUCGGAGAUAAAGAACUCAGACCUACGCUGCAUCGGUCCACGUGAAGGUGCUCUUCAGGUACUCCACUCUGGCUGUAAUCUCCGCCUCGCUCAUGAACGCAACGGCAUGCAGCGCGUGCCUGAACAUCCCAGAACCACGGGGCACACCUAUGUUUUCGGCGCAUGCCACCAUCGCCUGGAGAUGCUGCAGGUUGGCGGUGAUCAUCCUCGGUCUUUGGAUGCACAGCUUGGCAAUAUCGCAAGCACCUAA